This 724-nucleotide ribosomal RNA is filed under the name Cixius scrupeus. RNAcentral's name for it is "eukaryotic LSU rRNA". It matches the Rfam family "Eukaryotic large subunit ribosomal RNA", at positions 1812 to 2436 of the family's 3401-position model. The record is from RNAcentral. Lineage: Eukaryota; Metazoa; Arthropoda; Insecta; Hemiptera; Cixiidae.
CGGGUGAGAGCGACGCGGUGAUCGCGCCGGUUCGUAUCCAUAUCCGCAUCUGGUCUCCAAGGUUCAAAGCCUCUUGUCGAUAGAAUAAUGUAGGUAAGGGAAGUCGGCAAAUUGGAUCCGUAACUUCGGGACAAGGAUUGGCUCUGAGGAUCGGGGCGUGUCGGGCUUGGUCGGGAAGCGGGUCAGUGCCAACGUGCCGGGCCUGGGCGAGUGUCGUGUUGGUAUCCUUGGCAGCAAUGUCGAGUUUCCCACGAUCCGAACUCGGUCCCGUGCCACUUGGCCUCCCGCGGAUCUUCCUUGCUGCGGGUUUUCGACCAAGCAGACCAGGCUGGGCCGCUUCAGGCCCGCUUGGACGGCUUCGAAUCAAUCCCUUCGGCCGCCAUUCAACGGUCAACUCAGAACUGGCACGGACAAGGAGAAUCCGACUGCCUAAUUAAAGCAAAGCAUUGCGAGGGCUCUAGCCGAGUGCUUACGCAAUGUGAUUUCUGCCCAGUGCUCUGAAUGUCAACGUGUAGAAAUUCAAGCAAGCGCGGGUAAACGGCGGGAGUAACUAUGACUCUCUUAAGGUAGCCAAAUGCCUCGUCAUCCAAUUAGUGACGCGCAUGAAUGGAUUAACGAGAUUCUCACUGUCCCUAUCUACUAUCUAGCGAAACCACAGCCAAGGGAACGGGCUUGGAAACAUUAGCGGGGAAAGAAGACCCUGUUGAGCUUGACUCUAGUCUGG